RNAcentral lists this ribosomal RNA (683 nucleotides) under human gut metagenome. Its description in RNAcentral is "bacterial SSU rRNA". It matches the Rfam family "Bacterial small subunit ribosomal RNA", at positions 639 to 1328 of the family's 1533-position model. The record is from RNAcentral.
GUCUUGAGUGCAGUUGAGGCAGGCGGAAUUCGUGGUGUAGCGGUGAAAUGCUUAGAUAUCACGAAGAACUCCGAUUGCGAAGGCAGCCUGCUAAGCUGCAACUGACAUUGAGGCUCGAAAGUGUGGGUAUCAAACAGGAUUAGAUACCCUGGUAGUCCACACGGUAAACGAUGAAUACUCGCUGUUUGCGAUAUACGGCAAGCGGCCAAGCGAAAGCGUUAAGUAUUCCACCUGGGGAGUACGCCGGCAACGGUGAAACUCAAAGGAAUUGACGGGGGCCCGCACAAGCGGAGGAACAUGUGGUUUAAUUCGAUGAUACGCGAGGAACCUUACCCGGGCUUAAAUUGCAGAUGAAUUACGGUGAAAGCCGUAAGCCGCAAGGCAUCUGUGAAGGUGCUGCAUGGUUGUCGUCAGCUCGUGCCGUGAGGUGUCGGCUUAAGUGCCAUAACGAGCGCAACCCUUGUUGUCAGUUACUAACAGGUGAUGCUGAGGACUCUGACAAGACUGCCAUCGUAAGAUGUGAGGAAGGUGGGGAUGACGUCAAAUCAGCACGGCCCUUACGUCCGGGGCUACACACGUGUUACAAUGGGGGGUACAGAGGGCCGCUACCACGCGAGUGGAUGCCAAUCCCUAAAACCCCUCUCAGUUCGGACUGGAGUCUGCAACCCGACUCCACGAAGCUG